RNAcentral lists this ribosomal RNA (497 nucleotides) under uncultured bacterium. Its description in RNAcentral is "partial 16S ribosomal RNA". It matches the Rfam family "Bacterial small subunit ribosomal RNA", at positions 28 to 507 of the family's 1533-position model. The record is from RNAcentral.
GAUGAACGCUGGCGGCGUGCCUAAUACAUGCAAGUCGAGCGAACAGACGAGGAGCUUGCUCCUCUGACGUUAGCGGCGGACGGGUGAGUAACACGUGGAUAACCUACCUAUAAGACUGGGAUAACUUCGGGAAACCGGAGCUAAUACCGGAUAAUAUAUUGAACCGCAUGGUUCAAUAGUGAAAGACGGUUUUGCUGUCACUUAUAGAUGGAUCCGCGCCGCAUUAGCUAGUUGGUAAGGUAACGGCUUACCAAGGCAACGAUGCGUAGCCGACCUGACAGGGUGAUCGGCCACACUGGAACUGAGACACGGUCCAGACUCCUACGGGAGGCAGCAGUAGGGAAUCUUACGCAAUGGGCGAAAGCUUGACGGAGCAACGCCGCGUGAGUGAUGAAGGUCUUCGGAUCGUAAAACUCUGUUAUUAGGGAAGAACAAAUGUGUAAGUAACUAUGCACGUCUUGACGGUACCUAAUCAGAAAGCCACGGCUAACUACGUG